GCGGAAGUAGCUCAGUUGGUAGAGCACAACCUUGCCAAGGUUGGGGUCGCGAGUUCGAGCCUCGUCUUCCGCUCCA
Molecule: transfer RNA, 76 nt
Filed under: Bacteroidales bacterium
Lineage: Bacteria; Pseudomonadati; Bacteroidota; Bacteroidia; Bacteroidales
Also listed under: 1 other name
Description: tRNA-Gly
Rfam family: tRNA
About the family: Transfer RNA (tRNA) molecules are approximately 80 nucleotides in length. Their secondary structure includes four short double-helical elements and three loops (D, anti-codon, and T loops).
Source: RNAcentral